RNAcentral lists this ribosomal RNA (1248 nucleotides) under metagenome. Its description in RNAcentral is "bacterial LSU rRNA". It matches the Rfam family "Bacterial large subunit ribosomal RNA", at positions 1634 to 2874 of the family's 2925-position model. The record is from RNAcentral.
CCAUACGACCGUACCGCAAACCGACACUGGUGCGCGAGAUGAGUAUUCUAAGGCGCUUGAGAGAACUCAGGAGAAGGAACUCGGCAAAUUGACACCGUAACUUCGGAAGAAGGUGUGCCCUAUUAGUGUGUAGUGAACAACGAAGCAUGAAUGGGUUGCAAAAAAUCGGUGGCUGCGACUGUUUAUUAAAAACACAGCACUCUGCAAACACGAAAGUGGACGUAUAGGGUGUGACGCCUGCCCGGUGCUGGAAGAUUAAAUGAUGGGGUGCAAGCUCUUGAUUGAAGUCCCAGUAAACGGCGGCCGUAACGAUAACGGUCCUAAGGUAGCGAAAUUCCUUGUCGGGUAAGUUCCGACCUGCACGAAUGGCGUAACGAUGGCCACACUGUCUCCUCCUGAGACUCAGCGAAGUUGAAAUGUUUGUGAUGAUGCAAUCUCCCCGCGGAAAGACGGAAAGACCCCAUGAACCUUUACUGUAGCUUUGUAUUGGACUUUGAACAGAUCUGUGUAGGAUAGGUGGGAGGCUUUGAAGCAGGGUCGCUAGAUCUUGUGGAGCCAACGUUGAAAUACCACCCUGGUGUGUUUGAGGUUCUAACCUAGGUCCAUUAUCUGGAUCGGGGACAGUGCAUGGUAGGCAGUUUGACUGGGGCGGUCUCCUCCCAAAGCGUAACGGAGGAGUUCGAAGGUACGCUAGUUACGGUCGGACAUCGUGACGAUAGUGCAAUGGCAUAAGCGUGCUUAACUGCGAGACUGACAAGUCGAGCAGAUGCGAAAGCAGGACAUAGUGAUCCGGUGGUUCUGUAUGGAAGGGCCAUCGCUCAACGGAUAAAAGGUACUCUGGGGAUAACAGGCUGAUACCGCCCAAGAGUUCAUAUCGACGGCGGUGUUUGGCACCUCGAUGUCGGCUCAUCUCAUCCUGGGGCUGUAGCCGGUCCCAAGGGUAUGGCUGUUCGCCAUUUAAAGAGGUACGUGAGCUGGGUUUAAAACGUCGUGAGACAGUUUGGUCCCUAUCUUCCGUGGGCGCUGCAGAUUUGAGGAAGCCUGCUCCUAGUACGAGAGGACCGGAGUGGACACACCUCUGGUGUAUCGGUUGUCACGCCAGUGGCAUUGCCGAGUAGCUAAGUGUGGAAGAGAUAACCGCUGAAAGCAUCUAAGCGGGAAACUCGUUUCAAGAUGAGAUCUGCCGGGGCCUUGAGCCCCCUAAAGAGUCGUUCAAGACCAGGACGUUGAUAGGUCAGGUGUGGAAGC